GAGUCAGGUAAUAUGGUCAGCUCCUUACAGGGAGUUUGUACUUGUUGUCUGAUUUCUAUUCGUUCGGUAACACCGCUUCUGCCCUUAACUGGGUGGGGGUAAAAAAUACUAUCAGUAAUGGUAGUAUGGGGUUCCGACAUUUUACUUUGAAAAAAUUAGAGUGUUCAAGGCAGGUGCGACUCACCUCGUAUACAUUAGCAUGGAAUAAUGGAAUAGGACUUUAGUCUUAUUUUGUUGGUUUUAGAGACUGAAGUA
This 255-nucleotide ribosomal RNA is filed under the name uncultured fungus. RNAcentral describes it as "partial small subunit ribosomal RNA". The stretch from base 33 to 255 matches the Rfam family "Eukaryotic small subunit ribosomal RNA", at positions 625 to 864 of the family's 1831-position model. Lineage: Eukaryota; Fungi. The record is from RNAcentral.